GCGGGUAUAGCUCAGUGGUAGAGCGCAUGAUUAGCAUUCAUGAGGUCCUCAAUUCAAUCCCCAGUAUCUCCA
This 72-nucleotide transfer RNA is filed under the name Camelus bactrianus (Bactrian camel). It matches the Rfam family "tRNA". From Rfam's summary of the family: Transfer RNA (tRNA) molecules are approximately 80 nucleotides in length. Their secondary structure includes four short double-helical elements and three loops (D, anti-codon, and T loops). Lineage: Eukaryota; Metazoa; Chordata; Mammalia; Artiodactyla; Camelidae. The record is from Rfam by way of RNAcentral. RNAcentral also lists the same sequence under 2 other names.